GGGUGUGUUGGUGGUGACUGUAUUGAAGAUGUUCACCAACACGAGGAACAGGGUAACCAGUAAGGCCAUUCGUCCCGGGAUCACAUCCAUCGGGAUCAGGAAACUGAUCCAGCUCACUAUCACAAAGAGUCCACUAGUGCUGCUAUUCCGGAAGUCUUGGUGAAAGUCAAGGAACAAAUGAGAAAGAGAUGAGUAAAAAAAGACGGCCACUCGUUAAUCUCAAGAAUCCGGUGGCAGGAAGUUAGAGGAGCUUGCCAAAACCCUCUUGGACCGAAGGGUGGAAGUCAAUUCAUAUGGGAUCCCAUAAAGAUCUCACAAACCAAGUCAAGGGACUUAUUGUUGAAGUGAGCCUUGGACGAAAAAACCCUUAAUGUAAUCAAUAGAGCGUAGAUUUGAAAGUAUUUGCGACCAAAAUAUUUCUGUUAUGACUUUGGAGUAAAAACCGUUUUUUUGUCUUUUUCCA
This is a long non-coding RNA of Tigriopus californicus, 463 nucleotides long. RefSeq lists it as uncharacterized. The record is from RefSeq and is a predicted model, not a curated record. The transcript has 2 exons. NCBI's taxonomy places the organism in Eukaryota, Metazoa, Arthropoda, Copepoda, Harpacticoida, Harpacticidae.